This 234-nucleotide ribosomal RNA is filed under the name uncultured bacterium. RNAcentral's name for it is "partial 16S ribosomal RNA". It matches the Rfam family "Bacterial small subunit ribosomal RNA", at positions 15 to 244 of the family's 1533-position model. The record is from RNAcentral.
GAUCCUGGCUCAGGACGAACGCUGGCGGCGCGCCUAACACAUGCAAGUCGAACGAGAGAGAGGAAGCUUGCUUCCUCGAUCGAGUGGCGAACGGGUGAGUAACGCGUGAGGAACCUGCCUCAAAGAGGGGGACAACAGUUGGAAACGACUGCUAAUACCGCAUAAGCCCACAGCUCGGCAUCGAGCAGAGGGAAAAGGAGCAAUCCGCUUUGAGAUGGCCUCGCGUCCGAUUAG